This 470-nucleotide ribosomal RNA is filed under the name uncultured bacterium. RNAcentral's name for it is "partial 16S ribosomal RNA". It matches the Rfam family "Bacterial small subunit ribosomal RNA", at positions 28 to 507 of the family's 1533-position model. The record is from RNAcentral.
GACGAACGCUGGCUGCGUGCUUAACACAUGCAAGUCGAACGCUGAAGCCCCAGCUUGCUGGGGUGGAUGAGUGGCGAACGGGUGAGUAACACGUGAGUAACCUGCCCCUGACUUCGGGAUAAGCCCGGGAAACUGGGUCUAAUACCGGAUACGACUAUCGGACGCAUGUCUGGUGGUGGAAAGUUUUUUCGGUUGGGGAUGGGCUCGCGGCCUAUCAGUUUGUUGGUGAGGUAAUGGCUCACCAAGACGACGACGGGUAGCCGGCCUGAGAGGGCGACCGGCCACACUGGGACUGAGACACGGCCCAGACUCCUACGGGAGGCAGCAGUGGGGAAUAUUGCACAAUGGGGGAAACCCUGAUGCAGCGACGCAGCGUGCGGGAUGACGGCCUUCGGGUUGUAAACCGCUUUCAGCAGGGAAGAAGCCUUCGGGUGACGGUACCUGCAGAAGAAGAACCGGCUAACUACGUG